RNAcentral lists this ribosomal RNA (1961 nucleotides) under marine metagenome. Its description in RNAcentral is "bacterial LSU rRNA". It matches the Rfam family "Bacterial large subunit ribosomal RNA", at positions 394 to 2429 of the family's 2925-position model. The record is from RNAcentral.
GCCCUAGGGAGUUCCUGAGUAGCACGGGACACGUGAAACCCCGUGUGAAUCUGCGCAGACCACUGCGUAAGGCUAAAUACUAACUAGCGACCGAUAGUGAACAAGUACCGUGAGGGAAAGGUGAAAAGUACCCCUGUGAGGGGAGUGAAAUAGAACCUGAAACCAUGUGCCUACAAGGUGUAAGAGCUGGGAUUUAUCCUGGUGAUUGCGUGCCUUUUGCUUAAUGAGUCUACGAGUUAGUGUCUGUGGCAAGCUUAAGUCCUUCUGGGACGCAGGCGUAGCGAAAGCAAGUCCGAAUAGGGCGAUUUAGUUGCAGGCGCUAGACCCGAAGCGGAGGCGACCUACCCAUGGCCAGGUUGAAGCGACAGUAAAAUGUCGUGGAGGACCGAACCGAUGUGUGUUGAAAAACGCUCGGAUGAGCUGUGGGUCGGAGUGAAAGGCUAUUCAAGCCCCGUGAUAGCUGGUUCUCCUCGAAAUGCAUUUAGGUGCAGCGUUGCGUGUUGAUGAGUGGGGGUAGAGCACUGAAAGGGCUAGGGGGCAUACCCGCCUACCAACCCCUAUCAAACUCCGAAUACCAUUCAAUAGAGCGCAGCAGUGAGACAGUGGGGGAUAAGCUUCAUUGUCGAAAGGGAAACAGCCCAGAUCAGCAGCUAAGGUGCCAAAAUCAUGCUAAGUGGAAAGGAGGUGGGGUUUCUUAGACAGUGAGGAUGUUGGCUUAGAAGCAGCCACCAUUUAAAAAAUGCGUAAUAGCUUACUCAUCGAGAGACCCUGCGCCGAAAAUGAUUGGCGAUAAGCAUGAUACCGAAGCUCUGGAUGUCAGAAUCCUGCGGGAAUCUGGCGUGGUAGAGGAGCAUUGUCAUCUGCAUUGAAGCGGAAAGGCGACUGACCGUGGAGUGAUGACAAGAGAGUAUGUAGACAUGAGUAACGAUAAGCCGGGUGAAAUCCCCGGCCGCCGUAAACCCAAGGUUUCCCGGGCAACGUUUUUCGUCCCGGGGUUAGUCGGGACCUAACCCGAGGCCGAUAGGCGUAGGGGAUGGUAAGCUGAUUAAUAUUUCAGCACCUGCAAAGUGAAGGGGACGCUUACUGGAUUGCAACCAGGUUAUUGAAUUCCGAGGGGAGGCCUUGUGCCGAACCGUAUUGCAUGAAUGUGAGCCAAGAAAAGCCGACACGACUAAAAGCAGCCCGUACCGUAAACCGACACAGGUGGGUGGGUAGAGUAUACCAAGGCGCAAGAGUGAAACCUGGUCAAGGAACUCGGCAAAAUAGCCCCGUAACUUCGGAAGAAGGGGUGCCCCCUCUGGGGGGCCGCAGUGAAAUGGCCCAACCGACUGUUUAGCAAAAACACAGCAUUGUGCUAAGGCGUAAGCCGACGUAUACGAUGUGACACGUGACCAAUGCCAAAAGAUUACGGUAAGGUGUUAGCCCUCGAGGCAAAGCUCCGAGCCCAAGUCCUGGUGAAUGUCGGCCGUAACUAUAACGGUCCUAAGGUAGCGAAAUUCCUUGUCGGGUAAGUUCCGACCUGCACGAAUCGUGCAACGAGUUGACCACUGUCUCGACCAGGAGCUCAGUGAAAUUGUAGUGCCGGUGAAGAUGCCGGCUACCCGCAGAAGGACGGAAAGACCCUAUAGACCUUAACUGUAAGCUGUUACUGGUUAUUCGAUUUUAAUGCUCAGCAUAAGUGGGAGACUUUGAAGGGUGCGUUUAGGCGCAUCUGGAGUCGCUAGUGAGAUACCACCCUUUGACAUUGGAUAAUCUAACCCCGAGCCGUCACCCGGCCGGGGGACCGUGGCAGCCGGUCAGUUUUACUGGGGCGGUAUCCUCCUAAAGAGUAACGGAGGAGCGCGAAGGUUGGUUCAGCACGGUCUGCAACCGUGUGUCGAGUGUAAUGGCACAAACCAGCCUAACUGUGAGACCCACAAGUCGAGCAGAUACGAAAGUAGGCCAUAGUGAUCCGGCGGUAG